AAAACGACUCUCGGCAAUGGAUAUCUAGGCUCUCGCAUCGAUGAAGAACGUAGCGAAAUGCGAUACUUGGUGUGAAUUGCAGAAUCCCGCGAAUCAUCGAGUUUUUGAACGCAAGUUGCGCCCGAAGCCAUUCGGCCGAGGGCACGUCUGCCUGGGUGUCACGC
Molecule: ribosomal RNA, 164 nt
Filed under: Quercus ilex
Lineage: Eukaryota; Viridiplantae; Streptophyta; Magnoliopsida; Fagales; Fagaceae
Description: 5.8S ribosomal RNA
Rfam family: 5.8S ribosomal RNA
About the family: 5.8S ribosomal RNA (5.8S rRNA) is a component of the large subunit of the eukaryotic ribosome.
Source: RNAcentral